Molecule: long non-coding RNA, 240 nt
Filed under: Lathyrus oleraceus (garden pea)
Lineage: Eukaryota; Viridiplantae; Streptophyta; Magnoliopsida; Fabales; Fabaceae
Description: Pisum sativum (pea) long non-coding RNA (PSAT_LNC014365)
Source: RNAcentral
UCAAACUUGUAAAUAAACUUAAUUAUACUUGACUUAAACUUUCAAAAAGCCAAAAAGAGCUAACUCAUUCAACCAUUUUCAGGCCUUUGUGCCUUUCAAACUUAAUUUUUUUAUAAAAGCAAUGCAUCCACUUUGAAAUUUGUAUCACAAACUACGAGGUUUUGAUCCCUCAUUUUUAUGUUGGUACGUAGGCACAAGUCUGAAGGUCUUGUCAAACACAAAAAUAUAAUUAAUUGAAUU